GACGAACCAUGCGAACGUUGUUCGGAAUCACUGGGCUUAAAGGGCGCGUAGGCGGGCUGUCAAGUCUGGGGUGAAAUGCUGCGGCUCAACCGUAGAACUGCCUUAGAUACUGACGGCCUCGAGGAAGGUAGGGGCAUGCGGAACUGUAGGUGGAGCGGUGAAAUGCGUUGAUAUCUACAGGAACUCCGGUGGCGAAAGCGGCGUGCUGGACCUUUUCUGACGCUGAGGCGCGAAAGCUAGGGGAGCAAACGGG
RNAcentral lists this ribosomal RNA (253 nucleotides) under uncultured bacterium. RNAcentral describes it as "partial 16S ribosomal RNA". It matches the Rfam family "Bacterial small subunit ribosomal RNA", at positions 524 to 776 of the family's 1533-position model. The record is from RNAcentral.